GUCCACACAGCGAACGAUGAAUAUUAUGAAUUGGAUAUUAUUAUUCAGUUACCAAAGCUAACGCGUUAAAUAUUCCGCCUGGGGACUACGAUCGCAAGAUUGAAACUCAAGAAGAUUGACGGGAGCAUUUACGAGCGGUGGAGCAUGUUUGUUAAUUAGAUAUUCCGCAAAAAAAUCUUACCAGCUUUUGUACACCCAUAAUUUUAAUUACGUUUAAUAUUUAUUUUACAUGGGUACAGGUGUUGCAUGGCUGCCGU
This 257-nucleotide ribosomal RNA is filed under the name uncultured bacterium. RNAcentral's name for it is "partial 16S ribosomal RNA". It matches the Rfam family "Bacterial small subunit ribosomal RNA", at positions 793 to 1055 of the family's 1533-position model. The record is from RNAcentral.